UUGAAGAGUUUGAUCAUGGCUCAGAUUGAACGCUGGCGGCAGGCCUAACACAUGCAAGUCGAACGGUAGCACAGAGAGCUUGCUCUCGGGUGACGAGUGGCGGACGGGUGAGUAAUGUCUGGGAAACUGCCUGAUGGAGGGGGAUAACUACUGGAAACGGUAGCUAAUACCGCAUAACGUCGCAAGACCAAAGAGGGGGACCUUCGGGCCUCUUGCCAUCAGAUGUGCCCAGAUGGGAUUAGCUAGUAGGUGGGGUAACGGCUCACCUAGGCGACGAUCCCUAGCUGGUCUGAGAGGAUGACCAGCCACACUGGAACUGAGACACGGUCCAGACUCCUACGGGAGGCAGCAGUGGGGAAUAUUGCACAAUGGGCGCAAGCCUGAUGCAGCCAUGCCGCGUGUAUGAAGAAGGCCUUCGGGUUGUAAAGUACUUUCAGCGGGGAGGAAGGCGAUAAGGUUAAUAACCUUGUCGAUUGACGUUACCCGCAGAAGAAGCACCGGCUAACUCCGUGCCAGCAGCCGCGGUAAUACGGAGGGUGCAAGCGUUAAUCGGAAUUACUGGGCGUAAAGCGCACGCAGGCGGUCUGUCAAGUCGGAUGUGAAAUCCCCGGGCUCAACCUGGGAACUGCAUUCGAAACUGGCAGGCUAGAGUCUUGUAGAGGGGGGUAGAAUUCCAGGUGUAGCGGUGAAAUGCGUAGAGAUCUGGAGGAAUACCGGUGGCGAAGGCGGCCCCCUGGACAAAGACUGACGCUCAGGUGCGAAAGCGUGGGGAGCAAACAGGAUUAGAUACCCUGGUAGUCCACGCCGUAAACGAUGUCGACUUGGAGGUUGUGCCCUUGAGGCGUGGCUUCCGGAGCUAACGCGUUAAGUCGACCGCCUGGGGAGUACGGCCGCAAGGUUAAAACUCAAAUGAAUUGACGGGGGCCCGCACAAGCGGUGGAGCAUGUGGUUUAAUUCGAUGCAACGCGAAGAACCUUACCUACUCUUGACAUCCAGAGAACUUUCCAGAGAUGGAUUGGUGCCUUCGGGAACUCUGAGACAGGUGCUGCAUGGCUGUCGUCAGCUCGUGUUGUGAAAUGUUGGGUUAAGUCCCGCAACGAGCGCAACCCUUAUCCUUUGUUGCCAGCGGUCCGGCCGGGAACUCAAAGGAGACUGCCAGUGAUAAACUGGAGGAAGGUGGGGAUGACGUCAAGUCAUCAUGGCCCUUACGAGUAGGGCUACACACGUGCUACAAUGGCGCAUACAAAGAGAAGCGACCUCGCGAGAGCAAGCGGACCUCAUAAAGUGCGUCGUAGUCCGGAUUGGAGUCUGCAACUCGACUCCAUGAAGUCGGAAUCGCUAGUAAUCGUGGAUCAGAAUGCCACGGUGAAUACGUUCCCGGGCCUUGUACACACCGCCCGUCACACCAUGGGAGUGGGUUGCAAAAGAAGUAGGUAGCUUAACCUUCGGGAGGGCGCUUACCACUUUGUGAUUCAUGACUGGGGUGAAGUCGUAACAAGGUAACCGUAGGGGAACCUGCGGUUGGAUCACCUCCUU
Molecule: ribosomal RNA, 1536 nt
Filed under: Enterobacter sp.
Lineage: Bacteria; Pseudomonadati; Pseudomonadota; Gammaproteobacteria; Enterobacterales; Enterobacteriaceae
Description: bacterial SSU rRNA
Rfam family: Bacterial small subunit ribosomal RNA
Source: RNAcentral